Molecule: ribosomal RNA, 482 nt
Filed under: Mycosphaerella mori
Lineage: Eukaryota; Fungi; Ascomycota; Dothideomycetes; Mycosphaerellales; Mycosphaerellaceae
Description: eukaryotic LSU rRNA
Rfam family: 5.8S ribosomal RNA (bases 166-319)
Source: RNAcentral
CUGCGGAGGGAUCAUUACCGAGUUUACAACUCCCAAACCCCUGUGAACAUACCUAUACGUUGCCUCGGCGGAUCAGCCCGCGCCCCGUAAAACGGGACGGCCCGCCCGAGGACCCUAAACUCUGUUUUUAGUGGAACUUCUGAGUAAAACAAACAAAUAAAUCAAAACUUUCAACAACGGAUCUCUUGGUUCUGGCAUCGAUGAAGAACGCAGCAAAAUGCGAUAAGUAAUGUGAAUUGCAGAAUUCAGUGAAUCAUCGAAUCUUUGAACGCACAUUGCGCCCGCCAGUAUUCUGGCGGGCAUGCCUGUUCGAGCGUCAUUUCAACCCUCAAGCUCAGCUUGGUGUUGGGACUCGCGGUAACCCGCGUUCCCCAAAUCGAUUGGCGGUCACGUCGAGCUUCCAUAGCGUAGUAAUCAUACACCUCGUUACUGGUAAUCGUCGCGGCCACGCCGUAAAACCCCAACUUCUGAAUGUGACCUCG